UGGGGGAUAUUGCACAAUGGGCGAAAGCCUGAUGCAGCGACGCCGCGUGGGGGAUGAAGGCCUUCGGGUUGUAAACUUCUUUUGCUCUGAACAAGGCGCACCAUGGGGUGUGUUGAGUGUAGGGGUUGAUUAGCGCCGGCUAACUACGUGCCAGCAGCCGCGGUAAUACGUAGGGCGCGAGCGUUAUCCGGAAUUAUUGGGCGUAAAGGGCUUGUAGGUGGCUGGUUGCGUCUGUCGUGAAAGCUCAUGGCUUAACUGUGGGUUUGCGGUGGGUACGGGCUGGCUUGAGUGCAGUAGGGGAGGCUGGAAUUCCUGGUGUAGCGGUGGAAUGCGCAGAUAUCAGGAGGAAUACCGGUGGCGAAGGCGGGUCUCUGGGCUGUUACUGACACUGAGGAGCGAAAGCAUGGGGAGCGAACAGG
RNAcentral lists this ribosomal RNA (419 nucleotides) under bacterium. Its description in RNAcentral is "partial 16S ribosomal RNA". It matches the Rfam family "Bacterial small subunit ribosomal RNA", at positions 355 to 776 of the family's 1533-position model. The record is from RNAcentral.